CCUACGGGAGGCAGCAGUGGGGGAUAUUGCACAAUGGGGGGAACCCUGAUGCAGCGACGCCGCGUGGGUGAAGAAGCGCCUCGGCGCGUAAAGCCCUGUCAGCAGGGAAGAAAAUGACGGUACCUGAAGAAGAAGCCCCGGCUAACUACGUGCCAGCAGCCGCGGUAAUACGUAGGGGGCAAGCGGUCUCCGGAUUUACUGGGUGUAACGGAGGCGCAGACGGCGUAGCAAGCCAGGAGUGAAAGCCCGGGGGCCAACCCCGGGACGGCUCUUGGAACUGCGGUGCUGGAGUGCAGGAGGGGCAGGCGGAAUUCCUGGUGUAGCGGUGAAAUGCGUAGAUAUCAGGAGGAACACCGGUGGCGAAGGCGGCCUGCUGGACUGCAACUGACGUUGAGGCCCGAAAGCGUGGGGAGCAAACAGGAUUAGAUACCCGAGUAGUC
RNAcentral lists this ribosomal RNA (440 nucleotides) under uncultured bacterium. RNAcentral's name for it is "partial 16S ribosomal RNA". It matches the Rfam family "Bacterial small subunit ribosomal RNA", at positions 338 to 795 of the family's 1533-position model. The record is from RNAcentral.